GACUAUGAUGAUGAUGAUGAUGUAGACGACAACAAGAAGAAGAUGGCCAAGAAUGUGGUCACAAGUUGUUUUAUUUUAUUUUAUAAUCUUGUUUUGACCAUUGCUAUCUUCUCAUCAUCAUCAUCAUCAUCAUCUUUUGCCUUCGUUUAUCAAUAACAACAACAACAACAACAAUCAAUAUUAAGUAAUAUAAAGGGGAUACCAAUGAUGAUGAAAGAGACAAACUGACUCCGGUUUUUAUUUUGGCCAUCAUCAUCAUCAUCCUUAUUGGCUAUCAUUGACUCUUGGCCGACAAUGCCCGAGUUCAUCUUGAUGAUGAUGAAGAUCAUGAAAAAAAAUGAUGCGGCUUUUUGUCCUCAUACUUUUUUUUCAUAGUGAAGAUUCGAUGAAUUGUACGUUUCUUUUUUAUUUAUACACUAAGUAUAUGAACAGUACGAUUGA
Molecule: non-coding RNA, 441 nt
Organism: Dermatophagoides farinae (American house dust mite)
Lineage: Eukaryota; Metazoa; Arthropoda; Arachnida; Sarcoptiformes; Pyroglyphidae
Source: RefSeq, a predicted model, not a curated record